This 253-nucleotide ribosomal RNA is filed under the name uncultured bacterium. RNAcentral describes it as "partial 16S ribosomal RNA". It matches the Rfam family "Bacterial small subunit ribosomal RNA", at positions 524 to 776 of the family's 1533-position model. The record is from RNAcentral.
UACAGAGGGUGCAAGCGUUAAUCGGAAUUACUGGGCGUAAAGCGCACGUAGGUGGGUUGGUAAGUUGCUGGUGAAAAGCCUGGGCUUAACCUGGGUCGGUCCUGCAAAACUACCAGCCUAGAGUGUAUUAGAGGGAAGUGGAAUUUCCGGUGUAGCAGUGAAAUGCGUAGAUAUCGGAAGGAACACCAGUGGCGAAGGCGACUUCCUGGAAUAUAACUGACACUGAGGUGCGACAGCGUGGGGAGCAAACAGG